CGUAGCUUACGAUACAUGGAGAAUGAGCAAGAAGGCAAUAUUCAACCCCCAACCGAAGAGAUGGCUGAAAACCAAGGCAAUCAGCUACCUCCUACAAUUGCGGCUAAUCAAAAUCCUGCUCCACAUACUAUGUAUGACUAUGCUAAACCUUCUCUAACAGGAAUUGAAUCUAGCAUAGUUAGACCGGCUGUAGUUGGAAAUACUUUUGAAUUGAAACCUAACACAAUUCAAAUGAUACAAUAGUUUGUUCAGUUUGAUGGUUUGCAGGAUGAAGAUCCCAAUGCUAACUUAGCAAACUUCCUGGAAUUUUGCGAUACAUUUAAAAUCAAUGGUGUUUUUUAUGAUGCCAUUCGUCUUCGGUUAUUUCCUUUUUCAUUAAGGAAAAAAGCUAAACAGUGGUUGAACUCGUUACCACGAGGGUCAAUUACUACUUGGGAACAAAUGACCGAAAAUUUUUUUACUAAAAUACUUUUCGCUGGCUAAAAUGGCUAAAUUACGUAAUGAUAUCUCUUCUUUUGUGCAGAUGGAUUUAGAAACACUUUACGAUACAUGGGAGAGAUACAAAGACUUACUGAGAAGGUGCCCUCACCAUGGGUUACCACUUUGGCUGCAAGUACAAACAUUCUAAAAUGGUUUGAAUCCCUCGAC
This 648-nucleotide long non-coding RNA is filed under the name Gossypium barbadense (sea-island cotton). RNAcentral's name for it is "long non-coding RNA (GBAR_LNC002023)". The record is from RNAcentral. Lineage: Eukaryota; Viridiplantae; Streptophyta; Magnoliopsida; Malvales; Malvaceae.